GAUGAACGCUGGCGGCGUGCUUAACACAUGCAAGUCGAACGAUUAAGACGGCUUCGGCCGUGUAUAGAGUGGCGAACGGGUGAGUAACACGUGACCAACCUGCCCCGCGCUCCGGGACAACCGCUGGAAACGGCGGCUAAUACCGGAUGCUCCGGGGAGGCCCCAUGGCCUCCCCGGGAAAGCCUUAACGGCGCGGGAUGGGGUCGCGGCCCAUUAGGUAGACGGCGGGGUAACGGCCCACCGUGCCCGCGAUGGGUAGCCGGACUGAGAGGUCGACCGGCCACAUUGGGACUGAGAUACGGCCCAGACUCCUACGGGAGGCAGCAGUGGGGAAUUUUGCGCAAUGGGGGAAACCCUGACGCAGCAACGCCGCGUGCGGGACGAAGGCCUUCGGGUUGUAAACCGCUUUCAGCAGGGAAGACAUAGACGGUAC
Molecule: ribosomal RNA, 433 nt
Filed under: uncultured bacterium
Lineage: Bacteria
Description: bacterial SSU rRNA
Rfam family: Bacterial small subunit ribosomal RNA
Source: RNAcentral